RNAcentral lists this ribosomal RNA (253 nucleotides) under uncultured bacterium. Its description in RNAcentral is "partial 16S ribosomal RNA". It matches the Rfam family "Bacterial small subunit ribosomal RNA", at positions 524 to 776 of the family's 1533-position model. The record is from RNAcentral.
GACGGAAGGUGCAAGCGUUGCUCGGAAUUACUGGGCGUAAAGCGCGCGUAGGCGGACCUGCAAGUCGGGGGUGAAAGCCCGAGGCUCAACCUCGGAACUGCCUUCGAUACUGCGGGUCUCGAGUCCGGGAGAGGUGAGUGGAAUUCCUAGUGUAGAGGUGAAAUGCGUAGAUAUUAGGAAGAACACCAGUGGCGAAGGCGGCUCACUGGCCCGGUACUGACGCUGAGGCGCGAAAGCGUGGGGAGCAAACAGG